Molecule: long non-coding RNA, 2889 nt
Organism: Chlorocebus sabaeus (green monkey)
Lineage: Eukaryota; Metazoa; Chordata; Mammalia; Primates; Cercopithecidae
Source: RefSeq, a predicted model, not a curated record
UCCAGCUGUUGAAGAGAAAAACCAAUGUUAAACAGCUUUUAUUUAUCUAAAUGUGGCAAUUUUAUACUCUAAGCACAGCUAAGUGUAUUAGUAUUUUCUUUCUUUGGCACUUCCAUGGUUCAAAUUGUAUUUUAAUACUUAAUUUUUUUAAAAGAAAAAUAUUUGUAUUAUGAGUAAAGGAUAAAAGAGAAAAUGAGACGUGACUUUUGGCUUUAUGGUGAAUAGUCUGUUCUGUAUAGCUGCAUUUUAUACAUAAUAAUUAUGUACUGACUGAAGUUAGUGGUAUGCUGAUAAACCUGGCCUGGCCAAAAAGUAACAGAAGGAAAAAAACCCUGGUUUGUAUGUUUGCCAGUUUCUUUGGUGUGAAAAUACCUACCGUAGCCCCUUUUGAGUCAUCAGUAGUUUAAUAACUGGCUCACAGAAGUCUUCUAUAUUUAACUAUCUACUCAGCCAGCUAGCUCCAGCCUACCAUUGCAAGUUGAAAUAUAUUUUUGCUAUAGAACAUCAUAGCCACAAACGUUAUUCAUUACUUAUGCAACAAGUAUCCACAGAUUAUAGGAGUUCUCAUAGUAGAACUCUUAUAGAAUAUUAGAGUUCUUGAUACCUCAAGGUAAUUAUGAAUAAAAGAAAUUGUGAAAUUAGAAUAGAGAUGUAUAGCAAUUAACUGAAAUUGUCACCCACCUGUCUCUGUUUGCAACCUUUUCUGUCUCUACUUCCUGGUGUCAUAUUUAUAUUCUUAAGAAACUGCACUCAUCAUUUCUAAAAAGUUGGGCUAACUUUACUGCCAGUAGGGAGCAGAUCUGCGUAUGGCAUUCAGGGACCUCCACAAUCUGGACCUUUGUUUCUAGCCUCCCAUUAUCAACCUGCACAAAACAGUAUCUGGCUAAACCUUACACACUUGUCCUGUGCCUUUGUUGUGGUAUCGCUAUGUAAAUACCCUCUCCACCUUCUCAUUCCUUCAUGGGUGACUUCCCAGACCUUCCCACUCAUCUUUUGAAUGUGUUUAUUGCUGACUUGGCAAUACAUCACAAUUUUUUUUUUUUUUUGGUCACAGGUAUUACUGUCUUACAGUGUGAAUACCCCAUGAAAAGGCAGAACUCUUUGCAACUUAUGUCACACCUGUAUCUUUAAGGGCAAGGAUUAUUUGUUGCUAUAGUUUUUAUGUCACUAAAGUGCCUUUUAGUGUCAUAUACACAGUAGAUAACUAAAUGACAUUGAAUAAUAAAGACUAAGAAUGCUAAAGUAGUCUAGGAAUUCCCAAAUCUUAAUGAAAACUCAGAAAUAAACUGUGAUACUAUAUAACACUUUUUCUAAAGGCAUGAGUAAUUUUUUUUUUUUUUUUUUCACCGUUUCCCCUCCAUGGCUAUGAAAGAACUGGGAGAAGGAUCCUCCUUUGAUUAAUUAAAAUUUGAAAUUCACUUUGAAAAUUUAAGUUUAUUAAGGAAGGAAGGAAGAAGGAAAAAUAUGAAGAUGUGAGUAUACGUACCUUGGAGUUUGGAGAUGUGGAAAGGAGUGAAAAAAGAAAUACGUAAGCUGAAGUGCCAAACUCACACUAUUGAAAUAAAGGGCAUGGCCUACCAGCUGACAAGGAGCGUCUGGUUUCAAGAUGGCAAAUGACCUUAAAUAUGAUAGACAAAUACUUUUUACAUAGGUACAUGCACAGAUAUGCACAUAUAAAUCCAUAUUUGCAAGCAAAAAGUGGAACUUCUAAGGCAGAAUUUCUGAGGAAUCUCUGAAAGAUUAAUACUAUAUGGAAUUUGAAGAGGAAACCCAGAGCAGAAGCACAAAGUGAAGUACUGCCACAAAGAGGUGCGAUGCCACCAAAGGUGGUCUAGACCCACAAGAAAGGAAAAUUGGAAGCAGGACAACUAUCUGGAUAUUGACUGCACAUGUCAAUAUCUCAGUCAGACUAACAAAAUCAGCUUUAGGCAGAUAAAUGAAUGGUUGGAGAGAGAAGGCAAUGCCAAAGUGCCCCGCUUUGAAAUGUCCGGCCCAUCCCCAAAUUAGUGUGAAAAUUUCAAAUGUAGUAUAAAUUCCCUUCCCAUCAGAAGUGUCCGAUAAACAGCACUGGUAGAACAGUUUUAACUGAGUAUCACAGCUUCAAUGAUGAGCAUAGAAAACUCCAAAAAUCUGAAUACCAACACUAAAUCAAAAAACAGGUACAAACCACAAGUGGAGAACCAUCUCAAGAAAUAAUGGAGCAUUCAUGGAAUGCAUAUUAGCAACUCUUUUUAACAGUUAAUAUUGCCAAGAGAAACAGGUAAGAGGCCCUCUGGAGAAGUGUCAGAAAUAGAAAAUAUAAUUGUCCAAAUGAUAAAAUCAUCACUAGGCUAAGUAACAAUGGAAACAGCUGAAAAUCAAAAUCAAGGUCUGGAAGAGGAAUUCCAUAUCUUGAUGGAUGGAAUAGAGUGAUAGAAAAUAUGGAGGGAAAAAGACCAGAAUGGGGUAACAGAUGAGACUAGAGAGAAUGAAAAGGAGGGAAUAGUUGAAGAAAGGAUAAAGUGUUUUCCAGAAUCAAUAUUAAACCCUAAGAUUUCAGCGAUGCACCUGAAUGUCAAACAGCAAAUAAAAAUUAAAUCAUAAGUGCAUCACAGAUGAUGAUACCCUGAAAGUUAUUAAUACAAGAAAACAGCAUGGCAGGAGUAAUCUAAACUGACUAAAAUGGUAACUAGAAUUGUGAGAGGUGGAUUUUAAAAUGUAUAUGUUAAAACGUAUGUAGGUAUUCUUUUAAUAACAUUUUGCUGUAGCAUUUAAGCAAACUGUAGACAAUUAACGUUUCUCUUGUUUUCUACAAGCAAUUUUCCACUCUUCUGAAAACAUCAAACUUUGUGAAAGAAUCUUUCACAGAAGUUGAUUUUUAAAUUAAAUUUUAUUCAGAUGUUUUCUUCA